This 301-nucleotide ribosomal RNA is filed under the name uncultured bacterium. RNAcentral describes it as "partial 16S ribosomal RNA". It matches the Rfam family "Bacterial small subunit ribosomal RNA", at positions 509 to 807 of the family's 1533-position model. The record is from RNAcentral.
CAGUCGCCACGGUAAUACGUAGGGUGCAAGCGUUAAUCGGAAUUACUGGGCGUAAAGCGUGCGCAGGCGGUUAUAUAAGACAGAUGUGAAAUCCCCGGGCUCAACCUGGGAACUGCAUUUGUGACUGUAUAGCUAGAGUACGGCAGAGGGGGAUGGAAUUCCGCGUGUAGCAGUGAAAUGCGUAGAGAUGUGGAGGAACACCGAUGGCGAAGGCAGCCCCCUGGGCCAAUACUGACGCUCAUGCACGAAAGCGUGGGGAGCAAACAGGAUUAGAUACCCGCGUAGUCCCUGUCUCUUAUAC